GACGAACGCUGGCGGCGUGCUUAACACAUGCAAGUCGAACGGAAAGGCCCUGCUUUUGUGGGGUGCUCGAGUGGCGAACGGGUGAGUAACACGUGAGUAACCUGCCCUUGACUUUGGGAUAACUUCAGGAAACUGGGGCUAAUACCGGAUAGGAGCUCCUGCUGCAUGGUGGGGGUUGGAAAGUUUCGGCGGUUGGGGAUGGACUCGCGGCUUAUCAGCUUGUUGGUGGGGUAGUGGCUUACCAAGGCUUUGACGGGUAGCCGGCCUGAGAGGGUGACCGGCCACAUUGGGACUGAGAUACGGAGCAGACUGCUACGGGAGGCAGCAGUGGGGAAUAUUGCACAAUGGGCGGAAGCCUGAUGCAGCAACGCCGCGUGCGGGAUGACGGCCUUCGGGUUGUAAACCGCUUUCGCCUGUGACGAAGCGUGAGUGACGGUAAUGGGUAAAGAAGCACCGGCUAACUACGUG
Molecule: ribosomal RNA, 468 nt
Filed under: uncultured bacterium
Lineage: Bacteria
Description: partial 16S ribosomal RNA
Rfam family: Bacterial small subunit ribosomal RNA
Source: RNAcentral